CCCUGGAAAGGAAAACAGAAAGUUGCUUCCCAGCCCUGAAUCUCCAACUUUGCCUCGUGCCCAGAAUCACCAGGAGUGAUUUGCAAAGCAGCUAUCGUGCAGAGUGUGCUUUGGGAAACACUGAACUGGAGUAACGAUGACCUCCCCUGCAAGACCUAUGUAAGGAAGAAGAUAGGAGUUGGGAGUUUUCGUCCAGUCGUGCCGUGCUAUACUGGCAGGAUGGGCUUUGAUAAGACAGCAUCACAAAUUUUCCUGCUGAGCUUCAAUACAGCUUUGCAGAUGGUAUUAAGACACAAAGCAUCUGUGUCUCCUGGAGAAAAAGCAGCUUUUCUGGAAAUGUGACUACUGCUACUACACAAUCAAGAAACAAGAGUACAUUCACUACUGUAAGAAACUCACAAAAAAAGGAAGACAAUUUUGCCAGUUUGAACACAGAGGUUUGCAGAGGUACUGAUAAGUGACCCAGAAGCACAUAUUCAAGAAAAUUAUUAAAGAACAACCAGAGUAGGAAGGAAACAGAAAUCACCUCACCUUGUUUUAUAAAAGAAGAAAUAAGAUCCAGGGAUGUCUGUGCACCGCAUAG
Talpa occidentalis (Iberian mole) is the source of this 583-nucleotide long non-coding RNA. RefSeq lists it as uncharacterized. The record is from RefSeq and is a predicted model, not a curated record. Lineage: Eukaryota; Metazoa; Chordata; Mammalia; Eulipotyphla; Talpidae. The transcript has 5 exons.